Molecule: long non-coding RNA, 1949 nt
Filed under: Equus caballus (horse)
Lineage: Eukaryota; Metazoa; Chordata; Mammalia; Perissodactyla; Equidae
Description: lncRNA (ENSECAG00000058397.1)
Source: RNAcentral
GUUUGCUUUGGGUUAUUAUGAACUCUAGUUAGUGCCCAAAAGACGAGAGCCAACAAAAGUCUGAAGAGCAUUACAGCAAGUUCCCACAUCUCACAGGGGUGACAUCACCACCAUCACAUACUUGCCAGCAGUAAAAAUUAGAAGCCUUAUAUAGAACAUUAGAGUUGUGGGAAUCUUUUGCUACUUUAUCUUACCUGCAGCCUAAUUUCCUUUUGUUCUAGAUUGGGCUAAUGCCAGCUUUCAGGGCUGACCUCUGUCCUUAAGGGAGCAUACCUAAACCCACCCCACCAAGCCGCAGCUUAAUACAUGACAAUGGAUGCAAGCAAUGUUAGUUAAAAAGGAAAAUGAAAAUACCUGCCAGCACAUGUGUGAGACAUACUAGUUGCUGCUGCUCCUGCUCAAAAGAGUAAAUACUAUGAUGAAUGUCGCUAAGCAAUGUUGCAUUUUCAGUCCUUAAUAACUCCCUUAGUAACACAGGAUGGGACAAACUAUUUUGAGAUUGAUGAGAUGCUUUGCCUUACUUCUGUGAAUAAUCAGCCUCAGCAACCACGGCUUCCAGCAUGAAGCAAAAGUGAUUAUCCUUUGUCCCCUGGCUGAAAUGUGUAUUAGAACUCAGUGGUAACUGUCCUGUUGGGAAGUCUAAGGGUUUUCUGCUAACCCACUCCUCCACAGUGUCUUCACCUUAAAAAAUUACUAAAUAAGUGUACAUUCUUUUCAUGUCUCCUCUCUGCCAUUGUAUAUGUGUAUGUAGCAAAUGCCAGAAAGUUGUGAAUUUUAAAUAUACCUAAAGAUUUGGAGUAAAACGGUUCUACAAAUAUUCAUCCUUCUGAUUCAAAGAUAAUGCUGCUUUUGGGGAUUCUGUGUGAGGGUGACCGACUCUGCAGGCCAGUUUCAGAUCUUGCAUUGAUAACAACAACUCUUUGGUUUACAGAUGCCAGAAAGUUGCUCAGAGUGAGCCGCCAAUGACAACUAAUGGCUUUGUGCCCCUUUCCCCCACUUGCCCAGCAUUCCCUGGUUACCAGAAUUUUUGAUUACCCAGCAGUCUCUGGUUACCCAGAAUUCUGGAAAACCCAGUAUUCUUUGGUUACCCAGAAUUCCCAGUUACCCACGAUUCAUAGUUAUCCAGUAUUCCCCAGUUACUCAGCAUUUCUCAGCUACUAAGUAAAUAUUACGUAGAAAUAGUCUGCAAGAAAAUAACCUCUUCAGCAGGAUUCGCCCAGUGGAAUUCUGGAACUUAUCAUCUACUUCGAGGAGCAAUGCUGCACAAAAGACGUUACUGUACAAAAGCUAGAGCACAGAAUCUCAACUACACGUUUUCCCAUUGAAGGGACUGUGGGCAAAUCAAUGUCUUCACGCCUCUGUUUUCUGACCUGUUAUUGCAAUGACUAAGUUGACAUAUGUAAAGCGCUUAGAACAGUGCCUUCUUCUGCGGCAGAGCUAGAAAAGUGUUCGCAAGAGUCUUCAGUCAAAACAAGCAAAUUCCACAGUUUGUAAAGGAGGAAAAAGCUAAGUCCAGAAUGCACCCUUAGGAUCUGUGUUUGCUUCUAUUUCAGAGGAAGCCACUGAUGUAAUAGAGCUAGAAAUUGCCAAAAUUCGAAUUCCUAUAACAUCAAACUGUAACUAAUUAUGGUAUGGUCAUAUGCUGUAUGUUUCCCAGAAAUAACUGAUGUUCCACGGACAAAGAUCAAGAAAAUUACCCAAGGGAACACAGAAUGUAAGAAUGGAAGCAGGAUUUGAACCCCAAGUUUCUGAUUCAAGGUUCACUAAUUGUUACAGUUCUGUCACGGCCAGGAGAAGACUAUGCCCCUGGGAACCGGCUUCUCCAAGAAGAAUGAGAGUCAAAUGGAACAGACCUGAUCUAAGCCCACAGCCUGUAUCCAAGCCCAACCAAGCACAGCUGACCUACAGUCACAUGAGCUAGAAACCAGGGCUUGUUACUGCAAUUUGCC